This 672-nucleotide ribosomal RNA is filed under the name Heterosigma akashiwo. Its description in RNAcentral is "partial Bacterial large subunit ribosomal RNA". It matches the Rfam family "Bacterial large subunit ribosomal RNA", at positions 1299 to 1978 of the family's 2925-position model. Lineage: Eukaryota; Raphidophyceae; Chattonellales; Chattonellaceae. The record is from RNAcentral.
GGCAUAAGUAACGAUAAUGCGGGCGAGAAACCCGCACACCGUAAGACCCAGGUUUCCUGAUCAACGCUAAUCGGAUCAGGGUUAGUCGGGACCUAACGCGAACCCGAGAGGGGUAGUGGAUGGACAAUGGGUUAAUAUUCCCAUACUAUUUAUACAGGUGAUGGAGUGACGGAGUGAUGAAAGAUCCGCCCGGUGACGGAAUACCGGGUUAAAGGUAGUAGGUAUUGGCUGCAUAGUUAAAUGCGUGCGGCUAGCCGAAGCUGAUAGUACUGAGCGUUUACGGACAAUCAGAUAGUGAUCCUAAGGGCUUCCAAGAAAAACUUCUAGCGUUAAGCGUAUAGAUACCCGUACCGCAAACCGACACAGGUGGUCGAGGAGAGUAUCCUAAGGUGCUCGAGUGAAUCAUGGCUAAGGAACUCGGCAAAAUAGCCCUGUAACUUCGGGAGAAGGGGCGCCUCUGGUGACAGAGGCCGCAGUGAAGAGGCCCAGGCGACUGUUUAACAAAAACACAUGGCUUUGCGAAGUUUAACGACUAAGUAUAAGGCCUGACACCUGCCCGGUGCUGGAAGGUUAAGAGGGGGAGUUAUCGCAAGAGAAGCUCUGAAUCGAAGCCCCAGUAAACGGCGGCCGUAACAAUAACGGUCCUAAGGUAGCGAAAUUCCUUGUCGGGUA